Molecule: ribosomal RNA, 448 nt
Filed under: uncultured bacterium
Lineage: Bacteria
Description: partial 16S ribosomal RNA
Rfam family: Bacterial small subunit ribosomal RNA
Source: RNAcentral
AUUGAACGCUGGCGGCAUGCCUAACACAUGCAAGUCGAACGAAGCCUUCGGGCUUAGUGGCGCACGGGUGCGUAACGCGUGGGAAUCUGCCCUUGGUUCGGAAUAACAGAGAGAAAUUUCUGCUAAUACCGAUUGAUGUCGCAAGACCAAAGAUUUAUCGCCCAGGGAUGAGCCCGCGUAGGAUUAGCUAGUUGGUGUGGUAAAGGCGCAACAAGGCGACGAUCCUUAGCUGGUCUGAGAGGAUGAUCAGCCACACUGGGACUGAGACACGGCCCAGACUCCUACGGGAGGCAGCAGUGGGGAAUAUUGGACAAUGGGCGAAAGCCUGAUCCAGCAAUGCCGCGUGAGUGAUGAAGUCCUUAGGGUUGUAAAGCUCUUUUACCCGGGAAGAUAAUGACUGUACCGGGAGAAUAAGCUCCGGCUAACUCCGUGCCAGCAGCCGCCGUAA